Pelobates cultripes (western spadefoot toad) is the source of this 247-nucleotide non-coding RNA. The record is from the annotation of a GenBank genome assembly. NCBI's taxonomy places the organism in Eukaryota, Metazoa, Chordata, Amphibia, Anura, Pelobatidae.
AAAGAUACUUCUGUACUAUGUUCUCUCCCCAUCUUGUUGAAUCUAACAGACAAUUCAGGGAAUGCACGGGUCACACACACCCCCAGUGCUCUGGAUCGUAUCCCCCAAGAACUUUGGUCCACCAGACCGGAUGAUAUUGGACGCCUACAUGUACCCCCCGUCCUGGUCAAGCUCCUGCCUGGAGCCCUUCCUCCUCGAAGACCUCAGUAUCCUCUGAAGCCUGCACAAGCUGAAGCCAUCACCAAAC